Molecule: ribosomal RNA, 898 nt
Filed under: Diploschistes thunbergianus
Lineage: Eukaryota; Fungi; Ascomycota; Lecanoromycetes; Ostropales; Graphidaceae
Description: partial large subunit ribosomal RNA
Rfam family: Bacterial large subunit ribosomal RNA (bases 1-444)
Source: RNAcentral
ACACAGAACUGUGAUCUCGAUCAAAUUUAUUUUGAAUACAUCGGGGGAUCGUAAAGAUUUUAUCGGAGAGAUUUUGCACUCGGAAGGGUUAAGAUAUAUGUUAAAUAAUCGGACAUAGUACGAUAAGGUUGUAUGUCUAAAGGGAAACAGCCCAGAACAAGAGUUAAUAAGGUUCCAAAAUUAUUGUUGAGUGAAAUAAAGGAUGUGUCUUUGAACACGAUCAGGAAAUAGGCUUAGAAGCGGCCAUUUUUUAAAGAUCUCGUAACAGAGCACUGAUAUAAAACCAGAAGAUCAUACCGAAAAUAUAACGGAUCUAAAUAAUAUACCGAAACCUUGUCCAUAGAUAAUUAAUUAUCUAUGGGGUAGCGGAACAUUGGAUAAAUCUAAGAUUUUUUCUUUAUAAGACUAAAUGUAAUGUAAGAUGAUCCAAGUGAUAAUGCUGACAUGAGUAACGAAAAGAACAAAAAAACAUUUGUACUAUGAAAAUAAAAAAAGAACGGGGGUUCUCGAUCUUUUUUAUCUAAUAGUCGUGUUUUUUUCCGCCUUAAGCUUAUGAGACACGGAGCGCAAUUUAAAUUUACGGCCUCUAAGUUAAAUAAAAAAAAUGGAAUAAGGGUCCCUACAGAAAAUUUGUGUAUUAUCUGUAAGUAUAGAUAUAAGAAUAUAUAAUGAAUUUUGUCUUUUAUCAUAAAAUGCGGGGACGGGAAGUCUUAUAUUAAGUUGUUUUUUACGAAAUUUUCGUUAGAAACAAAUCUGCUGAAUGUUAAGCAAAUUGUACUGUACUUAUUGAAAUUUUUUUUUAACGAUGAGAAGUUAAAAGACUUAAAACUAAUUAAAGUAAAAUUAGUUCUGGAAAAAACAUUAAUACCGUCUCUAAAAACUAUCGCAAGUAAGCUAG